AAUUAAACAAUGUAAACAAAUGCUUUACAAUAUUAUUGUGAGCAGCACUUUACUUGGCGAAUUAAAGUUUUUUUAAUUAAUAGUAAACUGAAAAAAAUGUUAGCGAGCAAGACACGCUCCUCGCUUUCUUUUUUAAGAAUAGCCGCGAACUCAGGGACUUCGUAUAAGCGUUGAUACUCUGUCUCCUUCUUCUUCUCUCUCUGUUUCUCUCUCGCACAUGUAUAGGCACAUUAUUGUUUGUUGUUGUUGUUGUUGUUGUGGUGGUGGUGGUGGUGGUGGUGGUGUGUGGUGGUGGUGGUGGUGGUGGUGGUGGUGGUGUGGUGGUGGUGGUGGUGGUGGUGUACGAUACUAGUUGUUGUUAUAAAAGAUAUCUGUCUAGAAGUUAUCUUACAAUUCUAAUCACACACAACAAACGCCAGCAGCUCCACUCUGUGACGACAAUCGACUUUCUGUGAUUUUAUUGCCAGAAGUGUUUUGUGCAAAGUGUUGAGAGCGGGGAGGUGUACAGGCUGUGAGAGAAGUAACACAUGGGACAGACGACCUUCUGUGACCACAGACAGCAACGUCUACCUCACACCUGUCAACGACGUCUGUGGCAGAUGAACUGUCGCGAUGCUCUCGUCUGGCAGCGAGACAGAGACUCCUACGCCAUGGACCCGUGACAUCUGUGUAUACAUCGUGUGAACCCCUGGUGGAUUGUGGGGCUUGUGUCGUGUGUGUUUGAACCUCCUGCGCACGACUUCUGCGCUAACGAAACACUUGGUUGACAAUCCACUCGUCCUCACCUUGCUACAACCUCGCGACAAUCUCGUGGAGACCGAGACUUGAGCGAGAACGACCAACAUCACGACAGACGCAGACACAAGCUGCAGGGGGAGAACAGCGAGGUCUGAGAGCUGAUGUGCGUGUGUAUGUGAGAGAGGAUUAGGAGUGAAACGGAAGUAAGCACUCUGCCAUAUUGACAGUGUGGAUAGAGAAGACAACUGGGUCCGCCUUUAGUAAACAGCCCACGUGUGAAUGUUGUGUAAAUAAGCAUCCUCUUACCGUUAAGUCAGCAACGAGACGUGUGUCACUGAAGAUAAUGUCAUGGACGACAACUGUUGACCUUCGACUUCCCCUGGUGCAGGGACAUGUUGAAGAGUUUACUGCCACUCAGCCACAGAGUGCGAGACACAGGCUCUGGUCGAGAUGGCAGCUGGUCGGGUUGGCAGUCAGGAGGUUCUUGGUCUACUAAUGUCACGUGGCACAAGAGAACUGCUCAGUGCCCAGCUGGACAUGUCGCUGACCGUGCUGAUACAGAUUGUCAGGCAGAUACAAGAAAGCUCACUUAGCAACGUGACGUCAGCAGCCGCCUCUCACCUGGGCUCUGUACCUGUUCGAAUUCGCCGCCAGACGUCAGUUCUGACCGCCGUCAGCCAGGAGGUCGAGAAGCCUGGGGACUGACCGUGACCUGCAGGUGAAGGACGACAGUUACAACACACUGACUUUCUUACAUUCUUGUCAUCAUUUCAGGAUUGUGCCAACCCCAAAAAACACUCAACUCUGUCAGAACAGUUGUUCCUCCCAAGUGAACCUUGCUUUAGUUCUACUGAAGGAAACUACUGUCCGCCAUGUUGUCAGCAGGACUGCAAGCAGAGUGUCAUUGUGUCACAUGGUCAUGUGAAUUGUCAGCUGCCCACAGUCCGUGUGUCAUCAUUACUGGGCACUAAACAAAUUUCCUGGCUGCUAAUUACCUGUUAAACAGAUUCCUUGUGUGUCCUGACACAGUUAACUAAAUCUUUUCUUCGGUUUUUUAAUAAAAUAUAUUGAACCGUU
Molecule: long non-coding RNA, 1815 nt
Filed under: Pomacea canaliculata
Lineage: Eukaryota; Metazoa; Mollusca; Gastropoda; Architaenioglossa; Ampullariidae
Description: uncharacterized LOC112567097, transcript variant X2
Source: RNAcentral